CUUCCCACUUUCACAUUCCAGCCUCUGUUAUUCCACUUAAAAUGCUAGGGUUAAACUGCGUUUACCUUAAACAGGCUUACUGUGUUCACUGCUGGACGCCUCUGGGCAAUCUUACCCUCCUGGGAACUGAGAGAGACAAUGCUAGGAGCCAGAAACAUGAGGAAUACAUGAGCUCAGCGCCAAUGGAACAUGCUUUCACACCGGGUGCAGCUAACCACCACAUCAUACAAAACUCGUCGCUAACGUUUUAGAUGUAUAAUCUGAUUGGCAUGGGCUCACAGAGGAGGGAGUAAGGGAAGAGUAAGAAGAUUUCAAAGGAGAGACACAGGUUGCAGGUUAGCAGGAGAACAGGCAAGCCAAAUGCAAAGGAGCCACUUCAGAAAUGUGUCACAGAAAAGUGAAAAUGCAACCUAGUGGUAAGUGAAGAGGGGAAGAAGAAAGAAAAAGGACCAGAACCAUGAACUGAAGGGACGGGGAACAGCCAGACGAGAGCUUCAGCCAUCACGAGGAUGAUUUCGGAACCUGGAGAAAAUAAAAUGCAUUGAAA
This 547-nucleotide small RNA is filed under the name Pan troglodytes (chimpanzee). RNAcentral's name for it is "processed transcript". The record is from RNAcentral. Lineage: Eukaryota; Metazoa; Chordata; Mammalia; Primates; Hominidae.